CAAGUCGCCGCGGGAAUACGAAGGGUGCAAGCGUUAAUCGGAAUUACUGGGCGUAAAGCGUGCGUAGGCGGUGAGUUAAGUCUGCUGUGAAAUCCCCGGGCUCAACCUGGGAAUGGCAGUGGAUACUGGCUCGCUAGAGUGUGUCAGAGGAUGGUGGAAUUCCCGGUGUAGCGGUGAAAUGCGUAGAGAUCGGGAGGAACAUCAGUGGCGAAGGCGGCCAUCUGGGACAACACUGGCGCUGAGGCACGAAAGCGUGGGGAGCAAACAGGAUUAGAUACCCCCGUAGUCCCUGUCUCUUAUA
RNAcentral lists this ribosomal RNA (301 nucleotides) under uncultured bacterium. RNAcentral describes it as "partial 16S ribosomal RNA". It matches the Rfam family "Bacterial small subunit ribosomal RNA", at positions 508 to 808 of the family's 1533-position model. The record is from RNAcentral.